RNAcentral lists this unclassified non-coding RNA (242 nucleotides) under Helotiales sp. Its description in RNAcentral is "partial contains 5.8S ribosomal RNA, internal transcribed spacer 2, and large subunit ribosomal RNA". The record is from RNAcentral. Lineage: Eukaryota; Fungi; Ascomycota; Leotiomycetes; Helotiales.
CGCACAUUGCGCCCCUCGGCAUUCCGAGGGGCAUGCCUGUCCGAGCGUCAUUUCAAUCUCAAGCCAAGCUUGGUGUUAGGUGCUAGGCCCUCCGGGGCCCGCCUGUAACUUGUGGAGCGGGACCGCCCAGCUUUGAGCGUAGCAAGAAUCCUCCCUCGCUCUAAAAGCCCCGGCGGCCCUCGCCCGGUAACGAAAGCCUGGACUUUGACCUCGGAUCAGGUAGGGAUACCCGCUGAACUUAA